CCCUUAGAUGUUCUGGGCCGCACGCGCGCUACACUGAUGAAUGCAACGAGCUCUACCCUCGACCGAAAGGCCCGGGUAAACUUGUGAAACUUCAUCGUGAUGGGGAUAGAUUAUUGCAAUUAUUAAUCUUCAACGAGGAAUUCCUAGUAAGCGCGAGUCAUCAGCUCGCGUUGAUUACGUCCCUGCCCUUUGUACACACCGCCCGCCGCUCCUACCGAUUGAAUGGUCCGGUGAAAUCUUCGGAUUGCUGACCAAGAUCCAGCAAUGGAGCUUGGUUGCGAGAAGUUGAUUAAACCUUAUUAUUUAGAGGAAGGAGAAGUCGUAACA
RNAcentral lists this ribosomal RNA (327 nucleotides) under uncultured eukaryote. RNAcentral's name for it is "partial 18S ribosomal RNA". It matches the Rfam family "Eukaryotic small subunit ribosomal RNA", at positions 1470 to 1796 of the family's 1831-position model. The record is from RNAcentral.